RNAcentral lists this ribosomal RNA (663 nucleotides) under Triticum aestivum (bread wheat). RNAcentral's name for it is "partial small subunit ribosomal RNA". Lineage: Eukaryota; Viridiplantae; Streptophyta; Magnoliopsida; Poales; Poaceae. The record is from RNAcentral.
AUGACUGGGGCCUUGAAUGACAAAUAUUUAGGACUGCCGGCCAAUGUGGGUUUAGAUAAAACCGAUUGUUUUCAAUACUUAAUUGAUCGUAUUGUUCAGAGAAUUAGUGGCUGGAAGGAAAAACUUCUGUCGGCUGGAGGAAAGGAGAUCUUACUUAAAGCGGUUGUUCAAGCUAUUCCCACCUAUGCAAUGUCGGUCUUUAAAAUUCCUAAUUGCAAAGGAAUUAUUGACGCGAUGGCGCAUUUCUGGUGGGGAGAUGAGGACAACCAAAGGAGGAUGCAUUGGAUGGCUUGGUGGAAAAUGUGUGUACCCAAGAACCAAGGAGGAAUGGGUUUUCGGGAUAUCCAUUGUUUCAAUUUGGCUAUGCUGGCUAAACAGGCUUGGCGUCUUCUCGAGAAUCCGGAUUCUCUAUGUGCUACUAUUUUGAGAGUCAAAUACUAUUCUGACGGUGACUUGUUGAACACUGACCUGAAGAAGGGAUCUUCCUUCACCUGGCAAAGUAUUAUGGCGGGUGUGAGCUGCCUGAAGCGUGGUCAUAUUUGGCGAGUGGAAAACGGGCAGAAUAUUGGCAUUUGGGAGGACGCAUGGAUUCCAAAUUGUGCAAACCGUAAAAUUGUUACCCCUAAGGGAGGCCAUUGUUACGAAGGUAGCAGAUUUGAUUGA